UCACACAGGGGAGAGUGUGAUCCUGGCUCAGAUUGAACGCUGGCGGAAUGCUUUACACAUGCAAGUCGAACGGCAGCACGGGAGCAAUCCUGGUGGCGAGUGGCGAACGGGUGAGUAAUACAUCGGAACGUGCCCAGUAGUGGGGGAUAACCCGGCGAAAGCCGGACUAAUACCGCAUACGACCUACGGGUGAAAGCAGGGGAUCGCAAGACCUUGCGCUAUCGGGGCGGCCGAUGUCAGAUUAGCUUGUUGGCGGGGUAAAAGCCCACCAAGGCGACGAUCUGUAGCUGGUCUGAGAGGACGACCAGCCACACUGGGACUGAGACACGGCCCAGACUCCUACGGGAGGCAGCAGUGGGGAAUUUUGGACAAUGGGCGCAAGCCUGAUCCAGCCAUGCCGCGUGCGGGAAGAAGGCCUUCGGGUUGUAAACCGCUUUUGUCAGGGAAGAAAAGCUCUAGGCUAAUACCUGGAGUCAUGACGGUACCUGAAGAAUAAGCACCGGCUAACUACGUGCCAGCAGCCGCGGUACGC
Molecule: ribosomal RNA, 532 nt
Filed under: uncultured bacterium
Lineage: Bacteria
Description: bacterial SSU rRNA
Rfam family: Bacterial small subunit ribosomal RNA
Source: RNAcentral